Molecule: ribosomal RNA, 487 nt
Filed under: Streptococcus gordonii
Lineage: Bacteria; Bacillati; Bacillota; Bacilli; Lactobacillales; Streptococcaceae
Description: bacterial SSU rRNA
Rfam family: Bacterial small subunit ribosomal RNA
Source: RNAcentral
GACGAACGCUGGCGGCGUGCCUAAUACAUGCAAGUAGAACGCACAGUUUAUACCGUAGCUUGCUACACCAUAGACUGUGAGUUGCGAACGGGUGAGUAACGCGUAGGUAACCUGCCUGGUAGCGGGGGAUAACUAUUGGAAACGAUAGCUAAUACCGCAUAAUAUUAAUUAUUGCAUGAUAAUUGAUUGAAAGGUGCAAUUGCACCACUACCAGAUGGACCUGCGUUGUAUUAGCUAGUAGGUGAGGUAACGGCUCACCUAGGCGACGAUACAUAGCCGACCUGAGAGGGUGAUCGGCCACACUGGGACUGAGACACGGCCCAGACUCCUACGGGAGGCAGCAGUAGGGAAUCUUCGGCAAUGGACGAAAGUCUGACCGAGCAACGCCGCGUGAGUGAAGAAGGUUUUCGGAUCGUAAAGCUCUGUUGUAAGAGAAGAACGGGUGUGAGAGUGGAAAGUUUCACACUGUGACGGUAUCUACCAGAAA